GGGCCGUUAGCUCAGUUGGUUAGAGCAGCUGACUCUUAAUCAGCGGGUCCGGGGUUCGAAUCCCUGACGGCCCA
RNAcentral lists this transfer RNA (74 nucleotides) under Pseudomonadota bacterium. RNAcentral's name for it is "tRNA-Lys". It matches the Rfam family "tRNA". Rfam says of the family: Transfer RNA (tRNA) molecules are approximately 80 nucleotides in length. Their secondary structure includes four short double-helical elements and three loops (D, anti-codon, and T loops). Further hydrogen bonds mediate the characteristic L-shaped molecular structure. tRNAs have two regions of fundamental functional importance: the anti-codon, which is responsible for specific mRNA codon recognition, and the 3' end, to which the tRNAs corresponding amino acid is attached (by aminoacyl-tRNA synthetases). tRNAs cope with the degeneracy of the genetic code in two manners: having more than one tRNA (with a specific anti-codon) for a particular amino acid; and 'wobble' base-pairing, i.e. permitting non-standard base-pairing at the 3rd anti-codon position. RNAcentral also lists the same sequence under 1 other name. Lineage: Bacteria; Pseudomonadati; Pseudomonadota. The record is from RNAcentral.